Molecule: long non-coding RNA, 1313 nt
Filed under: Gossypium barbadense (sea-island cotton)
Lineage: Eukaryota; Viridiplantae; Streptophyta; Magnoliopsida; Malvales; Malvaceae
Description: long non-coding RNA (GBAR_LNC018501)
Source: RNAcentral
UAAAUACUAGCAUUUGCCAAAUAAUUUAAUUCCUAGUAUACAUACACAAAUAGACCUUAAAACAAGCAUGCAGGGCCCUAAAAACAAUUUGAGAACAAUCUAAGAUCAAAGUGAGCAUACAGUUUGAGACCAAUUUCUUGACCUUAAGACCUUAAGGAGUAACCUAACCAAAAACAAAUACGCAUCCAACCAUUUAACUAGAUAUAUCAUUAUAACAUAACAAUUUAAAAAUUCACAACUGUCUAUAUGCAUGUCACAUCCCAAAAUAGAAAACAUCUACCGAAAUAGUUGAAUACUGUGAGCUUCUAGUCCAUCCAUACGGUCAGUCCGCAAAUUUGGCAACUACAAAAGAACAUAAAUAAAACAAGUAAACUAAAGAAAUUUAGUAAGCUCAUAAUUUAAACAUCAAAUUAACUUACAUUAAUUGAAAUAAAUAUUCAAAUAGACAAUUUACAAGUUCACAAACCACUAUAAAUUCAAUGUAUUAAUGUCCAUAAUGAGCAAUCACAAGAUUUGCUACCAUCAACUAUUCAUUUUCAUAUGUACUCAAUUGCAAUAAUCGAUAUCAUAUAGGUAACAAAUAAAAGUUCACAUACAUGUACACAACUAACUAGAUAAAAAUGACAUAACAACAAGAAAUUUACAUUUACAUAUCAAAACACAAUGAACUUACCUACUAUCACUUCCGAUUAAAACGCAAGGAUUACUCCGUAAAUUUCCCCUUUCUUCGAUAUUGUCUUUUCGACUCGUUUCUUGAUCUAUAUAGUUAUUAAAUUCAAUUUAUUGAAUUCACAUACAUUUCAAACUCAAUUCAAUGCAUAAGACUCUUAAGUUUUUAUUAUUUAUACAUUUUCCCCAAACUUUUACAUUUCUCACAAAUUAGUCCCUAAACCCGAGAUUCCAAAUUUAACAAAAUUUUACAAUUUCCCAAGUUAGCCGAAUUUAUUCUUAUGCUAGGGCAGUCCAUAAUUAUUCAAAAAUUACACAAAUUCCAUAAAAUUUUAAUUAUUUUAUCAAUUUACUCCAUUAACUAAAACUAUCAAAAAUCAUUCAAUAAACUAAUUUUAACUAACUAACUAACAAUAUCUCAAUUUCACCAAUUAACAUAAAAAAUAACUAGCAAUCAACAAUGGCAAAAACCAAAUUCCUUAACAAUUUCAAAAACGAAGCUACGUGUUAGUUGAACCUAGUUGCAAUGAUCUCAAAAACACAAAAAUUACAAGAAAUAAGCUGAAAAAAGACUUACAUGCAAGGAGGGUUAUGGCCGAACCUCUCAAGUUCAACAAUGGAGCAUUCUCUUUCAAUUUUUCGGU